GAGAGAUAGGAUUCUCAUCAAAGAGCUUA
Molecule: non-coding RNA, 29 nt
Filed under: Mus musculus (house mouse)
Lineage: Eukaryota; Metazoa; Chordata; Mammalia; Rodentia; Muridae
Source: RNAcentral